AACGAACGCUGGCGGCAUGCCUAACACAUGCAAGUCGAACGAGACCUUCGGGUCUAGUGGCGCACGGGUGCGUAACGCGUGGGAACCUGCCCUUAGGUUCGGAAUAACUCCCCGAAAGGGGUGCUAAUACCGGAUAAUGUCUUCGGACCAAAGAUUUAUCGCCUUUGGAUGGGCCCGCGUUGGUUUAGCUAGUUGGUAGGGGAAAAGCCUACCAAGGGGACGAUCCAUAGCUGGUCUGAGAGGAUGAUCAGCCACACUGGGAGUGAGACACGGCCCAGACUCCUACGGGAGGCAGCAGUGGGGAAUAUUGGAAAAUGGGCGAAGGCCUGAUCCAGCAAUGCCGCGUGAGUGAUGAAGGCCUUAGGGUUGUAAAGCUCUUUUACCCGGGAUGAUAAUGACAGUACCGGGAGAAUAAGCACCGGCUAACUCCGUG
RNAcentral lists this ribosomal RNA (433 nucleotides) under uncultured bacterium. RNAcentral's name for it is "partial 16S ribosomal RNA". It matches the Rfam family "Bacterial small subunit ribosomal RNA", at positions 29 to 507 of the family's 1533-position model. The record is from RNAcentral.